RNAcentral lists this long non-coding RNA (892 nucleotides) under Erythranthe guttata (spotted monkey flower). RNAcentral's name for it is "long non-coding RNA (EGUT_LNC000120)". Lineage: Eukaryota; Viridiplantae; Streptophyta; Magnoliopsida; Lamiales; Phrymaceae. The record is from RNAcentral.
CCCCCCCCCCCCCCUCCUUUAUUUCGUCUUUCUUCACCGUCGCCGAACGAUAUCUAUGCGGUUGUAGAAAUAAGGUAAAAAAAAAAUUUCCUUUUAAUCAUCUUUUCAAUAGUUUUAGGGUUUGUGGGGAAGGUUCUUAUUUGAUAAAGAUAUUGUGAAAAAGGCUAUUAAUUCUUAUAAAUAAAUUUUUUUUCUUGUUCAAAUUGAUACAAUGACCCUUGUUAUUGAAAUUUGACAACAACCGUUGGCUGGAGCCGAAUUUGGCGAUUAAUGGAUUAGAUGAGUGUCGUUUCUUUGGAUCGACGAUCAUGAUUUAUAUUGAUAUGUACCUGUUUUUUUCAUUUUAUGUUUAACCAUUACAAUAAUUUUUAUAUAUUAUUAAUAUUUUUAUUUAAAUUUAAGUUUUCAUAUUACGAGUGCUUUUUAUUGAUGAUUAGGACCCAACUACAAGAAGAAAAGUGACUCGUGUUGGUGGUGGAUUGCGGAUUCGUUCAUGGACAGAAAAUUGGUUAAAUAUGUAUUAUUCUUAUUUUUAUGGUGUUAAAUAUUUGUAACAUGGAAACCAAAAGAAUAAGAUUGUCCAAUCUCAUGCAUUUACUUGGAUUUCAAAGUGGUUUUCAUGUUUAUAUAGUUGUUUGUAAAUAGUGGUUUUCAUGUUUAUAUAGAUAUCUAUACAUGUUUUCAUGUUUAUAUAGUGUUUAUAUAGAUUGGUUUUCAUGUUAUAUGUUGUUUAUACAGAGUGGUUUUCAUAUUUAUAUAGUUGUUUGUAAAUAGUGGUUUUCACAUAGUGGAUUAUGUUAAUGUAAAGUGGAUUACGUUAUUUUACAGUGAUUUUUACAGUAAUUUUACAAUGGUUUUUGAUAAAUUUGUAGUAGUUCCGAUGAGUAUAUAG